This 95-nucleotide transfer RNA is filed under the name Pseudogymnoascus sp. VKM F-4520 (FW-2644). It matches the Rfam family "tRNA". Rfam says of the family: Transfer RNA (tRNA) molecules are approximately 80 nucleotides in length. Their secondary structure includes four short double-helical elements and three loops (D, anti-codon, and T loops). Lineage: Eukaryota; Fungi; Ascomycota; Leotiomycetes; Thelebolales; Thelebolaceae. The record is from Rfam by way of RNAcentral.
GCUCCAAUGGCGCAAUGGUAGCGCGCAAGACUUCUACAAAACUACUUCCUAGUAACGUGAUCUUGAGGUUGAGGGUUCGAGCCCCUCUUGGAGUG